GCUGGUCGCAGGGCUGCGGGACUACAAUCUUCGCUUGAAAUGGGAGAGAGGGUGGUGCGGAUACCUUGAGGAAGGAACCCUACAAGGCCUGUUAGAGAAGAAGGGGUAGAAUCCCGAGAAUGUUUUCCCCACAGUGCUGAUAAGGAGAGACCACUACCCCAUCUACUGCUACAACUCUGGAGACAUAGCUCUGCCAUCUCUCCUAUAGAACACAAGGACCAAUCUGCAGAGAAAGAGCAUCCAAACCUGAUCCAGUGGACACUGGGGAAAAACUCACCACAGCUGAGUGUGGAAAAACAAGGCCAACACACACAUCUCUGCACAGAUACAUCUCCCAUAAAGAAACUAAAGUGUUAAUUUACAGGGCGCUGUUGCAGACCCACUUCAACUGGAAGCUACGAACGUGGACAAGGAGCCUCUCUACCACCGAAGGAGAGACAGGAAUGUGCUCUUGUCCUGGCAUUGCAUCUACAGGAGGGGCAGGAAACUCUUUGAAGGUUUUCAGAUCUCAUGAUUACUUUAUUUUGGAGUUGCCAGACUCAGCAAAUAAAAAUACACGACACACAGUUAAGUUUAAUAUUCAGAAAGAAAACUGUUGCGGGAAGUCAGGGACCCCCAACAGAGGGACCGCCUAAAGCCAUGGCAGAAGAACAAGGAUUGUGAAGAUUUCAUGGACAUUUAUUAGUUCCCCAAAUUAAUACUUUUAUAAUUUCUUAUGCCUGUCUUUACUGCAAUCUCUAAACAUA
RNAcentral lists this long non-coding RNA (746 nucleotides) under Pongo abelii (Sumatran orangutan). RNAcentral describes it as "lincRNA". Lineage: Eukaryota; Metazoa; Chordata; Mammalia; Primates; Hominidae. The record is from RNAcentral.